UGGAAGAGGAGAGCACAUGUAAAGUUCGUUUACGUCGGUUCUUUAUCUUGGAAAACAAAAGGAUCAGUGAGUUCAGAUUUUGAUGAAAGAAAAACGUUUGGGAAAACUGGAUGAGCUAUGUGUGGUCCAUGAAGCGGAUCUUGCACUAGUUACGGAAGGAUGGCAUUCUAAAGGCCAUAGAUGCGCACAAGUGUAGUACACAUUUUAUAAAAGCAACAUUUGAACAAAAAACACUCCAGAAACUUUAUUCCCAUUUCAAGACUAGGAGAUUUAUCCAGUCCAGAGCGAAACUCAAGUCAAGAAGAGUACCUUGAUCUUCUAUCACAGAAGACAUUUUUUGCCAACACUUCCAGGUACGCAGUACUGUACUGUAUAUCUAGUCCUAAUUAGUAAAUGUAAAAGACUACAUUCAAAUUUAAUUUAUCAUCAUCAUCUGGUACAUUGUUUUGUCUUGGGUAGAUAUUAUGUACGUUAAUUAUUGCCAUGAAUUUGUUAUAAAUUAUCAGUUUUGUCUAUCAAUCUCUUAACAUAGUGUCCAAAAAUCAAAAGCCACUUUUUGAGCUCAACAUGCCAAACCUGACUUUUGUUGCUUGC
This is a long non-coding RNA of Anneissia japonica, 594 nucleotides long. RefSeq lists it as uncharacterized. NCBI's taxonomy places the organism in Eukaryota, Metazoa, Echinodermata, Crinoidea, Comatulida, Comatulidae. The record is from RefSeq and is a predicted model, not a curated record. The transcript is spliced from 3 exons.